Molecule: non-coding RNA, 228 nt
Rfam family: T-box leader
About the family: Uncharged tRNA acts as the effector for transcription antitermination of genes in the T-box leader family. T-boxes are found upstream of many aminoacyl-tRNA synthetase genes and some amino acid biosynthetic genes usually in Gram-positive bacteria. The anticodon of a specific tRNA base pairs to a specifier sequence within the T-box motif, and the NCCA acceptor tail of the tRNA base pairs to a conserved bulge in the T-box antiterminator hairpin.
ACAAAGAUGAUGAUAGAAAGAAGUAAUCAUAUGAAUCAUUAAGAGAGCUGGUGGGUGGUGCAAACCAGUUGAGGAGUAUGGUGAAAUACAUUCUUGAAUCUUAGACUGAAAAGCAAUUUAUGCCUAGUAGGUUGAUACGGAUAUCUCAACGUUAUAGGGAAUAAGCGGAUAUGCAUAUAGAAAUGCAUAUCAAUUUGGGUGGUACCGCGGAGAAAAUUCGUCCCUUUA